Epinephelus lanceolatus (giant grouper) is the source of this 370-nucleotide RNA transcript. RefSeq lists it as uncharacterized. NCBI's taxonomy places the organism in Eukaryota, Metazoa, Chordata, Actinopteri, Perciformes, Serranidae. The record is from RefSeq and is a predicted model, not a curated record.
CGCUCUCCUAUUUGAUGACGAGACAUCCUCCAGGCUACUUCAGAAAUGAGAUGUGUUCUUCAAGCCAAAUGUCAUAAAAGGGGCUAAGCGGCUUACUUCAACACCAGAGUUGCGUCGCUUGGUGCAGUCAGCAGAAAGUCCCCCAGGAAGUGAUCUUGAUGAGGCAACAGCCUACGACCAAGAAAUGGCCUCACUGUUGUUGCUGAUACAUCUCCUUCCACCACCGCCAGGGGGUCUGAAGUCUCCAAAGAUUAGUGCAUGUGACGCAGUUGAGAGACUUGUAGUUUUUCAUAAGUCAUGCUGCAGUUUGGAAGAGCAUCUCCGCAACCAGCAGGGUCAGCAGCCGUACCUCCUCGCUGUUGGGCGUCAG